AACCAUAGAAACCUGCGGAGUACCUGCGGAAGGAUCAUUACCGAGUUUACAAACUCCCAACCCUAUGUGAACCUUACCAAUCGUUGCUUCGGCGGGCUUAGCCCCCGCGCCCUCGCCGGCGCCGGGAGAAAGGCGCCCGCCGGGGACCCCAAACCCAAUGUUUUUCAUGCAGUAUUUCUGAGUGGCAAACGCAAAAAUAAAUCAAAACUUUCAGCAAUGGAUCUCAGAUCGGAAGAGCAC
Molecule: unclassified non-coding RNA, 240 nt
Filed under: soil metagenome
Description: partial contains 5.8S ribosomal RNA, internal transcribed spacer 2, and large subunit ribosomal RNA
Source: RNAcentral